This 296-nucleotide small nuclear RNA is filed under the name Peromyscus maniculatus bairdii (prairie deer mouse). RNAcentral's name for it is "7SK RNA (ENSPEMG00000002960.2)". It matches the Rfam family "7SK RNA". Rfam says of the family: 7SK was discovered as an abundant small nuclear RNA in the mid-70s but a possible function has only recently been suggested. Two independent studies have found that 7SK RNA binds the CDK9/cyclin T complex (known as elongation factor P-TEFb). P-TEFb activates transcription by phosphorylating the C-terminal domain of RNA polymerase II. The record is from Rfam by way of RNAcentral. Lineage: Eukaryota; Metazoa; Chordata; Mammalia; Rodentia; Cricetidae.
AGAUGUGAGUGCUAUCUGGCUCUGACAUCUGUCACCCCAUUGAUCGCCAGGGUUGACUUGGCUGAUCUGGCUGGCUAAGCUGGUGUCCCCUACCUCCCUCACCACUCCAUGUGUGUCACUCUCGAAAUGCUCAGUCGAAGAGGAUGGCCUUCCCCAAACAGAGAAGGACUGGUCUUCUAUGCGAGUAGCUGUGCUCCCCUGCUGGAACCUCCAAACAAGCUCUCAAGGUCCAAAAAAGAUUUUGUGCUGCUAUCCAGACUGCAUUGUUUAUAUUUAACAGUUUGGUUAUUUUUGUU